RNAcentral lists this long non-coding RNA (1080 nucleotides) under Takifugu rubripes (torafugu). Its description in RNAcentral is "lncRNA (ENSTRUG00000031033.1)". The record is from RNAcentral. Lineage: Eukaryota; Metazoa; Chordata; Actinopteri; Tetraodontiformes; Tetraodontidae.
UGCAUUUUCAACGUGCGCGGUGCUCUAAUGUAUGCGUGCCAAGGCAAUAAAACCCAGUUUUAUUCUCUUAUUCAAGCGACCUUCUGUCAAAAGACCCAGAGUGCGUCGUGAAAAGGCGAUAAUUGUGUCUCUGGCGGUCCGAGACGUGUCGGCGGGGGACGUUGUCCACGUCCUGCAGGCCCUCCUAAUCACACGGGGGCGUGGAGGAGCUGAUCAUUUCCCACAGCUAGCACUGCAGGCAGGCGCACCUGUCGGCAAUCUACAUCAGGCCACCUAUUUAAGGACGGAGCGCCUGUCUGCCAGUGUUGGAGAGUUUUGGUGGUUUCCCAUGGUAGAGCUGACUCCUGUUUCCUCUUCUUUGGUUGUUUGCAACUUGUUGAUCUGUUUCUCCCUGCUCGUUUGAGGUCUCCACGCUGCCCUGCUGGACUGUAGAACGUGCAGGACCUGACUCCUGUGUUGGCUCCAUGCUGGAGGUCUUUGUGUGCCCCGGAAGACCGGAUGAGUGCCUCCCUGCGGUCCAGGAGCCAAAUUGAUCUUUGAAUAAAAACUUAGACUUUUUACCACUGCAUUCUACCUGCUUUUGGGUCCUGGAAAAAACCCAAAACCUAACAAACCUAACAAUUUUGCUUGGACCAGCAAAUCAGAGGAUGGAAAUGUGAUUGGUUAAGGAAUCAAUGCCUGAUAGAAACUGGACAGCAAGCAGAAAGUGUUUAUUGUUGCUGACACACCCAGAACCCGUCACAGACAUUAAAUAUUAUUUAAAUUAUUGAACAUUUGUUAAAGAACACUCAUAAUACUAAGACAACUUCUCAAACUGGCUGCUAUCCAACCAGGUUGCUCCUUCAGCAAUCAUGAUGUGCGUGUCAGAUGUUUGCAGCACCUGGUGUGGACCCACCCAGAGGCAAUGUUUCCUUCGCCUGCUGCUGGGAUUCUUUAUCAUGAUCCAGUUGCCUGGCUUAAGAUCAUGUAGUGGUUUGGAUGGAGAGGAUGGGAGGUGUUCCUCAACCUGCUAAGAGAGAAAACCACUUCUUAGUUUUGCAACCUUUUAUCUUCACACAAACUCAUGACCUCACUAAAGGU